Molecule: ribosomal RNA, 777 nt
Filed under: Lactococcus lactis
Lineage: Bacteria; Bacillati; Bacillota; Bacilli; Lactobacillales; Streptococcaceae
Description: bacterial SSU rRNA
Rfam family: Bacterial small subunit ribosomal RNA
Source: RNAcentral
CGGGAGGUGGCGGCGUGCUAUACAUGCAAGUUGAGCGCUGAAGGUUGGUACUUGUACCGACUGGAUGAGCAGCGAACGGGUGAGUAACGCGUGGGGAAUCUGCCUUUGAGCGGGGGACAACAUUUGGAAACGAAUGCUAAUACCGCAUAACAACUUUAAACACAAGUUUUAAGUUUGAAAGAUGCAAUUGCAUCACUCAAAGAUGAUCCCGCGUUGUAUUAGCUAGUUGGUGAGGUAAAGGCUCACCAAGGCGAUGAUACAUAGCCGACCUGAGAGGGUGAUCGGCCACAUUGGGACUGAGACACGGCCCAAACUCCUACGGGAGGCAGCAGUAGGGAAUCUUCGGCAAUGGACGAAAGUCUGACCGAGCAACGCCGCGUGAGUGAAGAAGGUUUUCGGAUCGUAAAACUCUGUUGGUAGAGAAGAACGUUGGUGAGAGUGGAAAGCUCAUCAAGUGACGGUAACUACCCAGAAAGGGACGGCUAACUACGUGCCAGCAGCCGCGGUAAUACGUAGGUCCCGAGCGUUGUCCGGAUUUAUUGGGCGUAAAGCGAGCGCAGGUGGUUUAUUAAGUCUGGUGUAAAAGGCAGUGGCUCAACCAUUGUAUGCAUUGGAAACUGGUAGACUUGAGUGCAGGAGAGGAGAGUGGAAUUCCAUGUGUAGCGGUGAAAUGCGUAGAUAUAUGGAGGAACACCGGUGGCGAAAGCGGCUCUCUGGCCUGUAACUGACACUGAGGCUCGAAAGCGUGGGGAGCAAACAGGAUUAGAUACCCUGGUA